UACGGGGGGGGUAAGCGUUGUUCGGAAUUACUGGGCGUAAAGGGCUCGUAGGCGGCCUGCUAAGUCGGAUGUGAAAUCCCUCGGCUCAACCGAGGAACUGCAUCCGAUACUGGCGGGCUUGAAGUCGGGAGAGGGAUGUGGAAUUCCAGGUGUAGCGGUGAAAUGCGUAGAUAUCUGGAGGAACACCGGUGGCGAAGGCGGCAUCCUGGACCGGCAUUGACGCUGAGGCGCGAAAGCUAGGGGAGCAAACGGG
This 253-nucleotide ribosomal RNA is filed under the name uncultured bacterium. RNAcentral's name for it is "partial 16S ribosomal RNA". It matches the Rfam family "Bacterial small subunit ribosomal RNA", at positions 524 to 776 of the family's 1533-position model. The record is from RNAcentral.